RNAcentral lists this ribosomal RNA (505 nucleotides) under uncultured bacterium. RNAcentral's name for it is "partial 16S ribosomal RNA". It matches the Rfam family "Bacterial small subunit ribosomal RNA", at positions 28 to 507 of the family's 1533-position model. The record is from RNAcentral.
GACGAACGCUGGCGGCGUGCCUAAUACAUGCAAGUAGAACGCACAGGGUAUACCUUGGCUUGCUACACCAUAAACGGUGAGGUGCGAACGGGUGAGUAACGCGUAGUUAACCUGGCGGGUAGCUGGGGGUAACUAUAGGUAAUGAUAGCUAAUACCGCAUAAUAUUUAUUAUUGCAUGAUAAUUGACAGAAAGAUGCAAUCGCAUCACUACUAGAUGGUCUUGCGUUGUAUUAGCUAGAAGGUGAGGUAACGGCUCACCUAGGCGACGAUACAUAGCCGACCUGAGAGGGUGAUCGGCCACACUGGGACUGAGACACGGCCCAGACUCCUACGGGAGGCAGCAGUAGGGAAUCUUCGGCAAUGGACGGAAGUCUGACCGAGCAACGCCGCGUGAGUGAAGAAGGUUUUCGGAUCGUAAAGCUCUGUUGUAAGAGAAGAACGGGUGUGAGAGUGGAAAGUUCACACUGUGACGGUAUCUUACCAGAAAGGGACGGCUAACUACGUG